AUUGAACGCUGGCGGCAUGCCUUACACAUGCAAGUCGAACGGCAGCACGGGGGCAACCCUGGUGGCGAGUGGCGAACGGGUGAGUAAUACAUCGGAAUGUACCCAGUAGUGGGGGGAUAACUAGUCGAAAGAUUAGCUAAUACCGCAUACGCACUAUGGUGGAAAGCGGGGGAUCGCAAGACCUCGCGCUAUUGGAGCAGCCGAUGUCCGAUUAGGUAGUUGGUGGGGUAAAAGCCUACCAAGCCUGCGAUCGGUAACUGGUCUGAGAGGACGACCAGUCACACUGGGACUGAGACACGGCCCAGACUCCUACGGGAGGCAGCAGUGGGGAAUUUUGGACAAUGGGGGAAACCCUGAUCCAGCAA
This 365-nucleotide ribosomal RNA is filed under the name uncultured bacterium. Its description in RNAcentral is "bacterial SSU rRNA". It matches the Rfam family "Bacterial small subunit ribosomal RNA", at positions 30 to 394 of the family's 1533-position model. The record is from RNAcentral.